AUUGAACGCUGGCGGCAGGCCUAACACAUGCAAGUCGAACGGUAACAGGAAACAGCUUGCUGUUUCGCUGACGAGUGGCGGACGGGUGAGUAAUGUCUGGGAAACUGCCUGAUGGAGGGGGAUAACUACUGAAAACGGUAGCUAAUACCGCAUAACGUCGCAAGACCAAAGAGGGGGACCUUCGGGCCUCUUGCCAUCGGAUGUGCCCAGAUGGGAUUAGCUAGUAGGUGGGGUAACGGCUCACCUAGGCGACGAUCCCUAGCUGGUCUGAGAGGAUGACCAGCCACACUGGAACUGAGACACGGUCCAGACUCCUACGGGAGGCAGCAGUGGGGAAUAUUGCACAAUGGGCGCAAGCCUGAUGCAGCCAUGCCGCGUGUAUGAAGAAGGCCUUCGGGUUGUAAAGUACUUUCAGCGGGGAGGAAGGGAGUAAAGUUAAUACCUUUGCUCAUUGACGUUACCCGCAGAAGAAGCACCGGCUAACUCCGUGCCAGCAGCCGCGGUAAUACGGAGGGUGCAAGCGUUAAUCGGAAUUACUGGGCGUAAAGCGCACGCAGGCGGUUUGUUAAGUCAGAUGUGAAAUCCCCGGGCUCAACCUGGGAACUGCAUCUGAUACUGGCAAGCUUGAGUCUCGUAGAGGGGGGUAGAAUUCCAGGUGUAGCGGUGAAAUGCGUAGAGAUCUGGAGGAAUACCGGUGGCGAAGGCGGCCCCCUGGACGAAGACUGACGCUCAGGUGCGAAAGCGUGGGGGAGCAAACAGGAUUAGAUACCCUGGUAGUCCACGCCGUAAACGAUGUCGACUUGGAGGUUGUGCCCUUGAGGCGUGGCUUCCGGAGCUAACGCGUUAAGUCGACCGCCUGGGGAGUACGGCCGCAAGGUUAAAACUCAAAUGAAUUGACGGGGGCCCGCACAAGCGGUGGAGCAUGUGGUUUAAUUCGAUGCAACGCGAAGAACCUUACCUGGUCUUGACAUCCACGGAAGUUUUCAGAGAUGAGAAUGUGCCUUCGGGAACCGUGAGACAGGUGCUGCAUGGCUGUCGUCAGCUCGUGUUGUGAAAUGUUGGGUUAAGUCCCGCAACGAGCGCAACCCUUAUCCUUUGUUGCCAGCGGUCCGGCCGGGAACUCAAAGGAGACUGCCAGUGAUAAACUGGAGGAAGGUGGGGAUGACGUCAAGUCAUCAUGGCCCUUACGACCAGGGCUACACACGUGCUACAAUGGCGCAUACAAAGAGAAGCGACCUCGCGAGAGCAAGCGGACCUCAUAAAGUGCGUCGUAGUCCGGAUUGGAGUCUGCAACUCGACUCCAUGAAGUCGGAAUCGCUAGUAAUCGUGGAUCAGAAUGCCACGGUGAAUACGUUCCCGGGCCU
RNAcentral lists this ribosomal RNA (1364 nucleotides) under uncultured bacterium. Its description in RNAcentral is "bacterial SSU rRNA". It matches the Rfam family "Bacterial small subunit ribosomal RNA", at positions 28 to 1381 of the family's 1533-position model. The record is from RNAcentral.